UGUUGGCCAUUGUUAGAAGUUACAUAUUGCAGAUCAAGGAAUUGUAAUACACUAUAAUUAUAUAAUCUUAUUUUCAUAAGAAAUCCCUUAAUACUAAAGCUUUAUCAAUAUGAACAAGGUCUAGAGGCCACUAAUAGCAUGAAUAACUCACCUGGAUUUAUGGCCCAAAGAACAAUUCCAGAAUACUUUUCAGAAUCGAAGUAAUAACAUAUAAACACUUUUGUCAACUUUGGUUUGAAAUGGUUCAAUAGCUCUUGAGAUCAGUGAUAAUCGUACCAAUAGUCUGUUUGUCAAUUCCCGUAAUUGACCCGGUCUAAUAUUAGAGAUUCCUUUCUUAGUUGUCUCUCUUUUAAUGCAUUGAUGCCCUACUGGACUUUACUAAGAACCAUACAUGUACUUAAACUUAUAUAACCCCGAGCUUAUAUAAGGAAAAUUUCUGAAAUUUUUGUUAUCAUUUCAAGCCACUUGUUUCUAAAAAGAAAAGCUAACUGAAAUUUUCAAUAAAUUUUAAAUUAAUCCUCUCAGACUGGCAAUCAUGUUUUUUUUAUCAGUAACAAAGUACAAUCUCUUUAUAAAUAAGGACCUUUCACAGAACAUGUGUCACAUUUUAUUUUCAUUUGAUUCUGCCUUAAUAUUGAGCUUUUGAGCAAUAAAGAUUGUACAAGAUAAUUAUGAAGUAUCCUGGCACAUAAAUUUUCUUUUAUUCACCUCAAAUCAUUUUGUUUUUUAAUUUUACUUGCAUAAUUUCAACUUUUAUAUGAAGAUUCAUAAACAAUAUCUGUAAGAUAAGAAAUACAUGAGGCAAUGGUCUU
Molecule: long non-coding RNA, 812 nt
Filed under: Mytilus galloprovincialis (Mediterranean mussel)
Lineage: Eukaryota; Metazoa; Mollusca; Bivalvia; Mytilida; Mytilidae
Source: RNAcentral